This 216-nucleotide ribosomal RNA is filed under the name Glomeromycotina sp. RNAcentral's name for it is "partial small subunit ribosomal RNA". The stretch from base 40 to 216 matches the Rfam family "Eukaryotic small subunit ribosomal RNA", at positions 686 to 864 of the family's 1831-position model. Lineage: Eukaryota; Fungi; Glomeromycota. The record is from RNAcentral.
GGGUCAGUAGGUUGGUCGUGCCACCGGUACGUACUGGUCUCACUGAUUCCUCCUUCCUGAAGAACCGUAAUGCCAUUAAUUUGGUGUUGCGGGGAAACAGGACUGUUACUUCGAAAAAAUUAGAGUGUUUAAAGCAAGCUAGCGCUUGAAUACAUUAGCAUGGAAUAAUGAAAUAGGACGAUCGAUCCUAUUUUGUUGGUUUCUAGGAUUGACGUA